This 301-nucleotide ribosomal RNA is filed under the name uncultured bacterium. Its description in RNAcentral is "partial 16S ribosomal RNA". It matches the Rfam family "Bacterial small subunit ribosomal RNA", at positions 509 to 807 of the family's 1533-position model. The record is from RNAcentral.
CAGUCGCCGCGGGAAUACGGAGGGUGCAAGCGUUAAUCGGAAUUACUGGGCGUAAAGCGCACGCAGGCGGUCUGACAAGUCAGAUGUGAAAUCCCCGGGCUUAACCUGGGAACUGCAUUUGAAACUGUCAGGCUGGAGUCUUGUAGAGAGGGGUAGAAUUCCAGGUGUAGCGGUGAAAUGCGUAGAGAUCUGGAGGAAUACCGGUGGCGAAGGCGGCCCCCUGGACAAAGACUGACGCUCAGGUGCGAAAGCGUGGGGAGCAAACAGGAUUAGAUACCCGCGUAGUCCCUGUCUCUUAUAC